GUGUCAGCAGCCGCGGUAAUACGUAGGUGGCAAGCGAUACUCGGAAUCACUAGGCGUAAAGCGCAGGUAGGCGGUUUGGUAAGUCUUUUGUGAAAGCUCCUGGCUCAACUGGGAGAGGUCAAGGGAAACUACCGGACUAGAGUGUGGUAGGGGAUACUGGAAUUCCUGGUGUAGCGGUGAAAUGCGUAGAUAUCAGGAGGAAUACCUAUGGCGAAAGCAGGUAUCUGGGCCAUCACUGACGCUGAGCUGCGAAAGCUAGGGGAGCAAACAGGAUUAGAUACCCUGGUAGUCC
RNAcentral lists this ribosomal RNA (292 nucleotides) under uncultured bacterium. RNAcentral describes it as "partial 16S ribosomal RNA". It matches the Rfam family "Bacterial small subunit ribosomal RNA", at positions 505 to 796 of the family's 1533-position model. The record is from RNAcentral.